RNAcentral lists this ribosomal RNA (349 nucleotides) under Galeommatoidea sp. UF375846. RNAcentral's name for it is "partial 16S ribosomal RNA". It matches the Rfam family "Archaeal large subunit ribosomal RNA", at positions 1954 to 2584 of the family's 2987-position model. The record is from RNAcentral. Lineage: Eukaryota; Metazoa; Mollusca; Bivalvia; Galeommatida.
CCCGGUGAUAUUUAAACGGCCGCAGUUAGGAGCUGUGCUAAGGUAGCGUAGUAAGUUGUCCUUUAAAUGGGGAAAGGAAUGAAUGGUUUGACGUGGGAAGAUCUGUCUCUGGAAAAAAUUAAAAAGUUUUCUUCCUGGUGAAAAGCCCGGGAUAGUAAUAAAAGACGAGAAGACCCUUUCGAGCUUGAUAAAGCGUUUUAAUUUUAAGAGGUUAAAGUUUGGUUGGGGCAACUUAGGAGCAAAAAUAGACUCCUAGAAGAUAAUGAGGAUCCAAAUAUUUUGAUAAAAAGAAAAAGCUACCGUAGGGAUAACAGCGUUAUCUUCUCUGAGAGAACAAAUUGAAGAGAGG